AUACGUAGGGUGCGAGCGUUAAUCGGAAUUACUGGGCGUAAAGCGUGCGCAGGCGGCUUUGUAAGACAGAUGUGAAAUCCCCGGGCUCAACCUGGGAACUGCAUUUGUGACUGCAAGGCUAGAGUGCGUCAGAGGGAGGUGGAAUUCCGCGUGUAGCAGUGAAAUGCGUAGAGAUGCGGAGGAACACCGAUGGCGAAGGCAGCCUCCUGGGAUGACACUGACGCUCAUGCACGAAAGCGUGGGGAGC
Molecule: ribosomal RNA, 247 nt
Filed under: uncultured bacterium
Lineage: Bacteria
Description: partial 16S ribosomal RNA
Rfam family: Bacterial small subunit ribosomal RNA
Source: RNAcentral